GACGAACGCUGGCGGCGUGCCUAAUACAUGCAAGUCGAACGAGAGCGACCGGUGCUUGCACUGGUCAAUCUAGUGGCGAACGGGUGAGUAACACGUGGGUAACCUGCCCAUCAGAGGGGGAUAACAUUCGGAAACGGAUGCUAAAACCGCAUAGGUCUUCGAACCGCAUGGUUUGAAGAGGAAAAGAGGCGCAAGCUUCUGCUGAUGGAUAGACCCGCGGUGCACUAGCUAGUUGGUGAGGUAACGGCUCACCAAGGCCGUGAUGCAUAGCCGACCUGAGAGGGUGAUCGGCCACAUUGGGACUGAGACACGGCCCAAACUCCUACGGGAGGCAGCAGUAGGGAAUCUUCCGCAAUGGACGCAAGUCUGACGGAGCAACGCCGCGUGAGUGAAGAAGGUGUUCGGAUCGUAAAACUCUGUUGUUAGAGAAGAAUAAGUGCUAGAGUAACUGUUAGCGCCUUGACGGUAUCUAACCAGAAAGCCACGGCUAACUACGUG
Molecule: ribosomal RNA, 498 nt
Filed under: uncultured bacterium
Lineage: Bacteria
Description: partial 16S ribosomal RNA
Rfam family: Bacterial small subunit ribosomal RNA
Source: RNAcentral